This 472-nucleotide ribosomal RNA is filed under the name uncultured bacterium. Its description in RNAcentral is "bacterial SSU rRNA". It matches the Rfam family "Bacterial small subunit ribosomal RNA", at positions 355 to 825 of the family's 1533-position model. The record is from RNAcentral.
UGGGGAAUUUUGGACAAUGGGGGCAACCCUGAUCCAGCCAUGCCGCGUGCGGGAAGAAGGCCUUCGGGUUGUAAACCGCUUUUGUCAGGGAAGAAAUCUCUUGGGCUAAUACCCCAGAAGGAUGACGGUACCUGAAGAAUAAGCACCGGCUAACUACGUGCCAGCAGCCGCGGUAAUACGUAGGGUGCAAGCGUUAAUCGGAAUUACUGGGCGUAAAGCGUGCGCAGGCGGUUAUGCAAGACAGGUGUGAAAUCUCCGGGCUUAACUCGGAACGGUCAGAUGAUACUGCUUUGCUAGAGUGCAGAAGGGGCAAUCGGAAUUCUUGGUGUAGCGGUGAAAUGCGUAGAUAUCUGGAGGAACACCGGUGGCGAAAGCGGCUCACUGGACCAUAACUGACGCUGAGGUGCGAAAGCUAGGGUAGCAAACGGGAUUAGAUACCCCCGUAGUCCCUGAGCGGGCUGGCAAGGCGCAU